RNAcentral lists this ribosomal RNA (533 nucleotides) under Plebeia franki. RNAcentral's name for it is "partial 16S ribosomal RNA". The stretch from base 381 to 533 matches the Rfam family "Bacterial large subunit ribosomal RNA", at positions 2473 to 2626 of the family's 2925-position model. The record is from RNAcentral. Lineage: Eukaryota; Metazoa; Arthropoda; Insecta; Hymenoptera; Apidae.
CAAAACAUGUCUUAUUGAAAAUAAUUUUAAGUCAAUCUGCCCAAUGAAUAAUUUAAAUGGCUGCAGUAUACUGACUGUACAAAGGUAGCAUAAUCAAUUGGUUUUUAAAUGAAAUCUGGAAUGAAAGGAUUAAUGAAAUAUAUACUGUCUCAUAUUUAUUUUAUAAAUUUAAAAUUUUAAUAAAAAUGUUAAAAUUUUUUUAUGGGACGAUAAGACCCUAUAGAAUUUUAUAUUAAAUUAAUUUUAUAUUUAAUAUAAAAUUUAAUUUAAUAUUUAAUUGGGAGAAUUAUUAAAUUUAAUAAAUUUUAAUUUUUAAAAACUUUAAUUAAAGAAAAAAUAUUGAUCUUUAAUUUAAAAUUAUUAGAUUAAAUUACCUUAGGGAUAACAGCGUUAUAUUUUUUUAUAGAUCUUAUAGAAAAAAAUGAUUGCGACCUCGAUGUUGAAUUAAGAUAAAUUUUAAAUGUAGAAGUUUAAUAAUUAAGUCUGUUCGACUUUUAAAAUCUUACAUGAUUUGAGUUCAAUCCGACGUAAGU